AUUUGGAUCUGUAUUGAAUUUGUAAUAGCUUUGCAAAUUCAAGGUUUGUUUCAGAUAACUUGGGUUUUAUGAAAUAAAAUAGGGUUUACGUUUUGGGUGAUUUCAAGAGUUUUGUAUUAGAUCUAUAAGUGAAAUUUUGUGGAUUUAUGGUUAUAGUUGUGUUUAAUAUGUAUCGUAAAUUUGAGCUUGAUCUAACAAUUGAAUUGAGGAAUAUUGAGGUUUAAGUGGGUCAAGGUCUCAGAAAAUAGAAUUUUAGGUCUAGUGGGAAUUUUUAAGAUUUCUUGCAAUUUAUUAGUUGGAUUGAAGUGAAACUUAUGUGAGAGGAUAUUAGACUUGUUUUUCUAUGUGUAUGAGAAUUGUGAGAACAAUCGAAAGGUGCAAAGAAGUGAU
This 390-nucleotide long non-coding RNA is filed under the name Physcomitrium patens. RNAcentral describes it as "long non-coding RNA (PPAT_LNC012447)". Lineage: Eukaryota; Viridiplantae; Streptophyta; Bryopsida; Funariales; Funariaceae. The record is from RNAcentral.